Molecule: long non-coding RNA, 3035 nt
Organism: Alligator mississippiensis (American alligator)
Lineage: Eukaryota; Metazoa; Chordata; Crocodylia; Alligatoridae
Exons: 3
Source: RefSeq, a predicted model, not a curated record
AAAAACCUCUUCUGGACGGCUAGUGGGAACUCCUCAGAGAGCACUCAGCCAGACGGACCUGCCUUCUCCUUCUGGUCCCUGUCCGGACUUCCAGGGCUUUGCCGUGUCAGGAGAAUGAGUUAGACUUCACCCGUCCAGUUCUGGGCGAGAGACAAACCUGCGGAGAAUUUGCCCUACAUUUGUGAUUGCCUGUACAGCUGGAAGCUGGAAGAGCGAGGCGUCCACAACCCGCCCCGAAGAGCCCUUCCCUUACCCCAAGUCAAGAAAAAUAUGGAUCUGAAAAUUGCCCCGCGUUGCACAACACUGUCCAGCUGCAGAGGAACACGAGGCAAAAGGCUGAGUAGAGACUCGGGAGAGCAUCUCUCUCAGCCUGGGCGACAGGAGCGCUGGUCCCUUGGAGUCGGCGAGUGAGGGAUGGGUGAAGUGGUCCAGGGCUCAGCCCCGAGCGUUGUAAGACACAGCCCGCUCUGCCACGCGGUUUGAAAGCUAAAAUGCAACCUUCACCAGGUUCCCUAUUUACUGCAUCCCCGAUCCUCACCCUCACCAUCCUCCGCCUGGAUCUAGCAGGGGGGCACCUGCCAAUUCCUCGCUGGAGGAAAACGAUCUCACUUGCUCGGAGCUUCCCAGUUGCUUGUAAGGUGCAUCUUUACCACGAUUGAUUCACCAUCUCACAGCGGGGAUAAAUGACACCGCCUGCGGGAACUGCUGCUCCGGCCUCUGGCUUUGGGGACGGACAGCGAUCUGAGCUGGGGUGGCAGUAUCCGUCCACCUCAGGCUGCUGCCACGAGGAAGACGAAGGAGAUUUUCGCUUGUAGCUUUUUAUUUUGUUGUAUUUUUUUUUCUUAGAAAGCCCGCUAUCAAUCCUUAUUCCGUCCACUUUGCUUUCCGCAGUCCCCCCUUACAGCAGCACUGGAAGGAGCGGAAUAACCAACCUCCUUGAUGUGGGAAUAGGUUAACGGAAAGAAUGAACUCCGGGAAGAAAAUCCUGGCCCCAUGGAAAUCCGCAGUAACUCUCCCCUUGAUUUCAGCGGGGCCAGGAUUUCUACCUCCCCCCUCUCCUCCCCUGAAGGUUUAUGAUCCACGGUAGAUGUGGGACCUACCUGCAUUCAGACGUGGCCGGUGGUUUUAAUUGGGGCUGGUCCUGCUCUGAGCAGGGGGUUGGACUAAGUGACCUCCUGAGGUCUCUUCCACCCUCAUUGUCUAGGAGUCUUUGAUUUUUAUUUUGGGGGGAGGAGGCUCGCUCUGCUCACCGUGUGAAACUAACCGUCCUGAUUUUAAGAGGACAGGUGCUUCUGUCCUUCUGGAAGCCUGUCCUCUUUCAAGUGGUCCCCAAGACCCAGAGACCGCCCCCCACCUCCCCAAUCGCUGUCCCUUUGGACAAUGCAGGUCCUUGGCUCCCCAGUGCUGCAGACACCGUGCCAGGGCUGUCCCUGUGGCUCUUUAUCCUCGGCGGUUGAUUGCUGGGAUAAACAUCCACUAGCAAUGCCUCUCCGGGCUCGGAAAGGCAACGAGCCCUUGGCUUUCCCCCCUGAGCAGCGGGCCUGCCCCAUCACUAUUUCUUCAUAUGAUCCUUCUAGCUCUCUACCAAGCUAACUUCAAAAAAAAAAGAAAAAGAAAAAGAACAGACCCCCAAAACCAAAACAACCCCAACCCCCAAACAAAACAAAACAAAACAAACCAAAACAAACCCAAAAAGGGAAGAGGGAAGGUCUUUGCCCUGGGGGUGGAUUUCAAGAGCCUGAUGCCAACCCCAUUGACGUCUCCCUCCAGUUGAUCCCCACGGACGCAUGCAGAUCAUGCUGCCCCCCCCCCCCCGUUGCUGUGUUCAUUAUGGGGACACCAGCACCUGGGACCAGCCUGAUCUGCAGUCCCUGCGGAUCAACGGGAGGGAGACUUGUUAUUCUGUUGAAUUACUUUUUUCUUACAAAGCCCUCUAUCCCUUCUCCUUCCUUCUGCUUUGCUUUCCGCACUCCCCGCUUCCAGCAACGCAGGAAGGCGCCGAAUACCCACCCCCCUGGAUGUGGGAAUAGGUUGAUGGAAAGAAUGAACUCCGGGACGAAAAUCAGGAUCAGGAUCUGCCUUUCACCUCCCACCUCCCCCAGCUCUGCGCACCCACAGGGGGUCUCCAAGCAGGGUGGACACGGAGGACAGUCCGGUUGUCCUCUAUUGAGACGAAACCCGAGAAAAGAGAAAAAGGGAGGACACGAAGGCGUUGGGUUGGAUGACCACCCCAGCUCCAAGGCGGAGGGGAGCUCGGGGGCAGCGCAAAGGCUGAUGGCUCUGAGCAGGACCCUCUCCCUUCUCUCCUUCUAGGAGGUCACUGGCAGGGGCCAGGCUCUUGGCAGCACUCGUGGCAUUCCCCGCCUCCUGCGGGGCGUCCCAGCCCUGGGAAUGCCCUCCCUGCCUUUUACCAGGGCGCACAAUGACCGGGGGCGGGGGCGUCUCUUGGCAUAUGGUGCACCUGUCAGGGCGCAGCUUGAGCCGGGCACCGUGACCUUCACAGGGCGAAGGGAACAGGACAGUGCCUGGGGCUGGGGGCAGGGACAGGAAAGGGAGGGGCUGGGCGUCCUGGUCUCUGCUCCCCCAGCUGCUCCCAGCCCGCCCCGAGGGGAGCAGCGCAAAUCCUCCAGCAUCCCCCCGCGGGGCCGGGCGGACCCCGAGCCCCGGAGACCGCCCCCCCCCAGCAUCCCAGCAUCCGCCGUGUGGGCACGAUCCUCCCCCAGGUUGGGCUCCCGUCCUGGGCGGGCGGGCGCGUGUGAGGAGCGGGGCGAUGUGCCCCGCGACCGCGAUGAAUCGCCCGCUCGCAGCCCGCGUGGGAGCGGGGCCAUAGUCCGAGGUGCGGCCACUGCCCCGCCUCCAGCUGCCACUUCUGCCCUCCCUCGCAGAGCACCGCCAUCCUUAUCCAGGAAUAGGAAUAGCGACAGCGAUUAUGUCGGAUUCUUGUCACCAGUAAGAUACCAGGGGGCCGCAGCACAAAAGGAGGAUAGGGAUUCGGAUCUUAUUAAUCGCUGCAAUAAAAGCCAUUAGUACCAUUA